GUUUUGGAUUCGAUUGGCUGUAUGAAGUUAUGUUAGCAUGUCGUGGUAAUGCACGUUAAAACAUCGAGAUAAAAAAUAAUCGGAAACGAUAAUAGAACUUUAGCUUUCGCUGCUUAAUAGAAAGCAUCCAAUAAGAAGCCGACCUUCAGGGCAUCUUGGCGGAUUUCAGAUACUGCAGGUUGAUUAUUAAGUUUGCUUCGGCUUAAUAGUUGAAAUACAGAGGAUAGAUAUUAUUAGCUUGCUCUUUACAUAAUAAUAGCCGAACUAAAGAAAAAGAGAUAAACAUGUAGAAAAUAUAAUGGAUUGUAGUUAAGACCGGGGUUCAAUUCCCCGCUAGUCCACCA
This 344-nucleotide transfer-messenger RNA is filed under the name human gut metagenome. It matches the Rfam family "transfer-messenger RNA". From Rfam's summary of the family: Bacterial tmRNA, also known as 10Sa RNA or SsrA, is named for its dual tRNA and mRNA-like properties. Its role is to liberate the mRNA from a stalled ribosome. To accomplish this part of the tmRNA is used as a reading frame that ends in a translation stop signal. The record is from RNAcentral.